Hyaena hyaena (striped hyena) is the source of this 107-nucleotide small nuclear RNA. NCBI's taxonomy places the organism in Eukaryota, Metazoa, Chordata, Mammalia, Carnivora, Hyaenidae. The record is from RefSeq and is a predicted model, not a curated record.
GUGCUCACUUUUGCAGCACACACACUAAAACUGGAAUGACACAGAGAAGGUGAGCGUGGCCCCUGCUCAAGGAUGACACGCACAUUUGUGAACGUUCCAUAUUUUUU